This 1674-nucleotide long non-coding RNA is filed under the name Homo sapiens (human). RNAcentral describes it as "HSALNT0398175". Lineage: Eukaryota; Metazoa; Chordata; Mammalia; Primates; Hominidae. The record is from RNAcentral.
CUCUCCCGGCGCUCAGUCCCGCUGCAGACGCGCGCUCGCUCCGUCGGUGCCCACUAGAAGAGGCGGCUUCCUGUGUGAGGUCGCCCACAUUCCAGGCCAACAUGAACAGCUGAUUUGGAUACCAUCAAGACACCUGAAAUUUUAGCAUGAGCCAGAUGCCAAGGAAGAGACUCCGGGAGGAUCCUGAGGACCCCCCGGUUGCAGCCAUGUCGAGGCUGAUGCUGAGGAGGACCCCAACUGUCACGAGAAACACCCGUCGAACACAGCCACCCAGCUGGAGACAGAUCAAGAAGCUGUCACAGAUGAUGGAAGAAAACCUGAGGAAAGCGGGACAACCACUCAGAAUGAGUAAUGGUAGCUAUGAUAGUGGUAAUCACCAUUGCCAUGGUGUCUUGCUCUGUUGCCCAAGCUGGAGUGCAGUGGCAUGAUCUCGGCUCAUUGCAACCUCUGCCUUCCGGGUUCAAGCGAUUCUCCUUCCUCAGCCUCCUGAGUAGUUGGGAUUACAGGUGCACACCACCACGCCCAGCUAGUUUUUGUGUUUUUAGUAGACACGGGAUUUCGCCAUGUUGGCCAGGCUGGUCUCGAACUUCUAACCUCAGGUGAUUCACCUGCCUUGGCCUCUGAAAGUGCUGGGAUUACAGGCAUGAGCCAGCCAACUUUUUAUGAUUUUUACUUGCAGUGCCCUUCUCUCGCCAUCCCUCAUUCUGCCUUCUAGACACCCAGCCACCUCUGCAGGAAUCUGAACGGAGCUCAGCUCUUUCCCCUACUGCCAGUGGUUACUGAAUAAGAUCCUUUUCACAGCUUUAACUGAUGUCCCGCUUUGUUUAUUGUGAACAUUUCUCAAACCUCAGUGUUUCUCAUACCACAUUCGUAAUUCUUUCCAUAUGCACACAUCACCUACACUUUUCUUUUUCUUUUUUUUUGAGACAGGGUUUCCUUCUGUAGCCCAGGCUGGAGUGCGGUGGUGUGACCACAGCUCACUGCAGCCUUGACCUCUUGGCUCAAGUGAUCUUCCUGCCUCAUCCCCCCGAGUAGCUAGGACUACAGCACACACCACCAUGACCGACUAAUUAAAAAAAUUUUUUUGUAGAGUUGGGAUCUUCCUAUGUUGCCCAGGCUGGUCUCAAACUCCUGGGCACAAGUGAUCCUCCUGCUUUGGCUUCCCAAAGUGCCGGGAUUACAGGCCUGAGCCUCUGCACUUGGCUACCCUUUUUUUUUUCUUUUGAGACAGAGUCUCGCUCUAUCACCCAGGCUGGAGUGCAAUGGUGUGAUCUCAACUCAUUGCAACCUCUGCCUCCUGGGUUCCAGCGAUUCUCCUGCCUCAGCCUCCCAAGUAGCUGGGAUGACAGUCGCCCACAACCAUGUCCAGCUAAUUUUUGUAUUUUUAGUAGAGACAGUGUUUCAGCAUGUUGGCCAGGCCGGUCUUGAACUCCUGAUCUCAAGUGAUCCACCUGCCUCGGCCUCCCGAAGUGCUGGGAUUACAGGCGUGAGCCACUGUGCCUGGCCUCCGGCUACACUUUUCUUUACUCAACAUUUUUCUUUAAAAUGACUCAUCUAAAAUAAGUUCACUCAUUUUUUUAAACAAUAACACCCACGAAAUUAUAUAUGAAUAUGCUAAUUAUAUUUAAAUGUAGAUGACAGUAACAAAAUGAAAAUAAAACAUAUCUGUCCACA